CAGCAGUCGCCGCGGUAAUACGAGGGGGGCAAGCGUUGUUCGGAAUUAUUGGGCGUAAAGGGUGCGUAGGCGGCUUGACAAGUCUUGUGUGAAAUCUAUGGGCUCAACCCAUAGUCUGCACGGGAAACUGUCGGGCUUGAGAAUGGGAGAGGUGAGUGGAAUUUCCGGUGUAGCGGUGAAAUGCGUAGAUAUCGGAAGGAACACCUGUGGCGAAAGCGGCUCACUGGACCAUUUCUGACGCUGAUGCACGAAAGCUAGGGGAGCAAACAGGAUUAGAUACCCGAGUAGUCCCUGUCUCUUAUAA
RNAcentral lists this ribosomal RNA (304 nucleotides) under uncultured bacterium. Its description in RNAcentral is "partial 16S ribosomal RNA". It matches the Rfam family "Bacterial small subunit ribosomal RNA", at positions 509 to 809 of the family's 1533-position model. The record is from RNAcentral.